Molecule: non-coding RNA, 1025 nt
Organism: Macaca mulatta (Rhesus monkey)
Lineage: Eukaryota; Metazoa; Chordata; Mammalia; Primates; Cercopithecidae
Source: RefSeq, a predicted model, not a curated record
AUCACGUUUCGCCCCUUGCAGGCCGGAAGCAGGCCUGCUCGCCUGGGAGCAUGUUUGGUCGAAUCUGGGUUGGGCGGCUUGGUCGCAGUGUGCCUGUGCUAGACUCGCGGCGCAUUCAUCGCGGCGCCCACAGCCACUCCAGUUCUCUGGUUGUUCUCGCGCGCCAGGAGCCGUGGGCCAGGCCAUCAGGCCAUACAAGUGCUGCUAAAGCGGCCUCGCCUUAGGCUGCAUCAUCUCGGGGAUGUUUCACUUGUGUCUUCUCCCAGUUUCAGCCCCAGCCCCUCGAACCCACCGGGUCUCCACAUCGCACUCUGAUCAAUAUCCCACAGGACUCAGUGACCUUUGAGGAUGUGGCUGUGAACUUCACCCAGGAGGAGUGGGCUUUGCUGGGACCUUCCCAGAAGAAUCUCUACAGAGAUGUGAUGCGGGAAACCUUCAGGAACCUGAUGUCUGUAGCAGUCAUAUGGUAGAGAGUCUGUGAAGGUAAAGAAGAUGGUCAAUGUGAAGAAAUCUUAAGCCUUAUUCCACAUGGUAUAGUGAAGGCGACCAUGUGAAAGCAGUGUGUGUGGAGAAGGCAACAUGGAUCAUUCAUCUCUUAAUUGCUGCAUCAGAGCUGACACUGGACACAAAUCAUAUGAGGAUCAGGAACACAGAAGCCAGAAGCCACAUAAGCAGUCACCAGUCCUGAUCCUGAAGUUACCUAGUAGCCGCAUCCUGAGUCACGUCAUUAGCACAACUCCAGACCCUUGAACUCUGAAGUACCCUCAGCCUGAGCCAGCACACAGUCUCUCUCCUUCACGACCCUGUGAAGAACAAGCUGAAGGCAGGGUAAAACACUCUCUGAUCUAGGAUGUGAUUUUCACUCUCCAUCCUGCCCUCCCCCUCCCACCUUGUUUGCUCUUCUGUUGGAAAGAAAAAACACUUUUCUGCCCAAUCUUUGAGAUGUUUGCUUAUCUUAUGCUUGGUGCUUCUCCCUUUCCCUCUUUGCAUUCCUUUCUAAUGAAGUCAUUUCUUCUAAAUCCCUA